GGGAAGCAGGAGUGGAGUGUGAGAGUGAGCGUGUGUGUGUGUGUGUGUGUGUGUGUGUGUGUGUGUGUGUGUGUCUGGGUGCUGUUGGCUGUACAGUUUGGGCUGGGGUCUCAGAUUCUCUUUCUUCUAAUAUAAGGCUAUUUAAAAUGCUACUGUCUUGAUCCGACAUAUUGCCUACUGGAAAGGACAUGCCACCGUUAUUCAAUUCUGUAGCAUAACACUGGGUCACAAACGUGGUGGAUAUCCAGGACUGAACUUCUAGCUGCCGGCAUGAGGGUUUGGCUCUGGUUCACAACUAGGGAUUCCAUAAAUACACAUGUGCAGCUGUCUGGUCCAAGGAGAUUGAGCCACACCCCUCACCCUCUUAGCCGUCUAAUUUUGGUCUUGGUCAAUACACAUCAGACCUAUUUCCCUUAAUACAUAAAAAACAAUAGUUACUACUGUUUUGCUAAACUGUUGGAAUCUCUCUGGAUAUUUUAUGCACUUUCUGCUGGGCUCUGUUGUUAUGUUCUUAUAUAAAUAUUACACAUAUUGCUUUAA
Molecule: long non-coding RNA, 540 nt
Organism: Protopterus annectens (West African lungfish)
Lineage: Eukaryota; Metazoa; Chordata; Ceratodontiformes; Protopteridae
Exons: 3
Source: RefSeq, a predicted model, not a curated record